CCUACGGGCGGCAGCAGUGGGGGAUAUUGGACAAUGGGGGAAACCCUGAUCCAGCGAUGCCGCGUGAGGGAAGAAGGUUUUCGGAUUGUAAACCUCUGUGGAGGGGGACGAUAAUGACGGUACCCCUUUAGGAAGCCACGGCUAACUACGUGCCAGCAGCCGCGGUAAUACGUAGGGGGCGAGCGUUGUCCGGAAUUACUGGGUGGAAAGGGAGGGGAGGCGGGAAAGCAAGUCAGAAGUGAAAACUAUGGGCUUAACCCAUAGCCUGCUUUUGAAACUGUUGUGCUUGCGUGAAGUAGAGGCCGGCGCACUUCCUAGUGUAGCGGUGAAAUGCGUAGAUAUUAGGAGGACCACCAGUGGCGACGGCGGCUUGCUGGACUGUACCUGACGUUGAGGCUCGCGAGCGUGGGGAGCAAACAGGAUUAGAUACCCUGGUAGUC
Molecule: ribosomal RNA, 440 nt
Filed under: uncultured bacterium
Lineage: Bacteria
Description: partial 16S ribosomal RNA
Rfam family: Bacterial small subunit ribosomal RNA
Source: RNAcentral